RNAcentral lists this ribosomal RNA (468 nucleotides) under uncultured bacterium. Its description in RNAcentral is "partial 16S ribosomal RNA". It matches the Rfam family "Bacterial small subunit ribosomal RNA", at positions 28 to 507 of the family's 1533-position model. The record is from RNAcentral.
GACGAACGCUGGCGGCGUGCUUAACACAUGCAAGUCGAACGGAAAGGCCCUGCUUUUGUGGGGUGCUCGAGUGGCGAACGGGUGAGUAACACGUGAGUAACCUGCCCUUGACUUUGGGAUAACUUCAGGAAACUGGGGCUAAUACCGGAUAGGAGCUCCUGCUGCAUGGUGGGGGUUGGAAAGUUUCGGCGGUUGGGGAUGGACUCGCGGCUUAUCAGCUUGUUGGUGGGGUAGUGGCUUACCAAGGCUUUGACGGGUAGCCGGCCUGAGAGGGUGACCGGCCACAUUGGGACUGAGAUACGGCCCAGACUCGUACGGGAGGCAGCAGUGGGGAAUAUUGCACAAUGGGCGGAAGCCUGAUGCAGCAACGCCGCGUGCGGGAUGACGGCCUUCGGGUUGUAAACCGCUUUCGCAUGUGACGAAGCGUGAGUGACGGUAAUGGGUAAAGAAGCACCGGCUAACUACGUG